Non-coding RNA from Delphinapterus leucas (beluga whale), 2236 nucleotides. The record is from RefSeq and is a predicted model, not a curated record. Lineage: Eukaryota; Metazoa; Chordata; Mammalia; Artiodactyla; Monodontidae.
UUCGCUGCUGGAAGUUAAGGGGUCCUGCAUGCUAAAGGAAAAAUAAGCUUGAUUGCAGUUCUACACUCUAAAAUCAAUUCUGAUACUAUAUAACACCUUUGGACCUCGUACACUGACCUCCUCAGUCCCUAGCCCUUACUGAUUAGGUUGGUGUGGAAAAACUGGGGCUUUGAUCAAGCAAAUGCUAAAAAGCCACAUAAGGAAGAUCCUUAACAGUUAUUUCUCAACAAUUAUAUAGUCAACUGAUGUAACAAUGGUACUAAUAUUGGGACGAAGACUAAACAGAGAGGAUCUCAGAGUGCGUGAUUCACCAGCAACAAAGCGUAAAGUUUUUGAAAUGGACCCUAAAUCUCUGACAGGCCGUGAGUUUUUUGACUUCUCUUCAGGAUCAUCCCAUGCUGAAAACAUAGUCCAGAUAUUUAAUGAAUUCCGAGGUAGUCGUUUGUUCACAGAUGUUAUCAUUUGUGUGGAAGGAAAAGAAUUUCCUUGCCAUAGAGCUGUUCUCUCAGCCUGUAGUAGCUACUUCAGAGCUAUGUUUUGUAAUGACCACAGGGAAAGCCGAGAAAUGUUGGUUGAGAUCAAUGGUAUUUUAGCUGAAGCUAUGGAAUGUUUUUUGCAGUAUGUUUAUACUGGAAAAGUGAAGAUCACUACAGAAAAUGUACAGUAUCUCUUUGAAACAUCAAGCCUUUUUCAGAUUAGUGUUCUCCGUGAUGCAUGUGCCAAGUUCUUGGAGGAGCAACUUGAUCCUUGCAAUUGCUUAGGAAUCCAGCGCUUUGCUGAUACCCAUUCCCUCAAAACACUCUUCACAAAAGGCAAGCAUUUUGCAUUACAGACUUUUGAGGAUGUGUCCCAGCAUGAAGAAUUUCUUGAGCUUGACAAAGAUGAACUUAUUGAUUAUAUUUGUAGUGAUGAACUUGUCAUUGGCAAAGAGGAGAUGGUUUUUGAAGCUGUCAUGCGUUGGGUCUAUCGUGCUGUUGAUCUGAGAAGACCACUGUUACAUGAGCUCCUGACACAUGUGAGACUCCCUCUGUUGCAUCCCAACUACUUUGUUCAAACAGUUGAGGUGGACCAACUGAUCCAGAAUUCUCCUGAGUGUUACCAGCUGUUGCAUGAAGCAAGACGGUACCACAUACUUGGGAAUGAAAUGAUGUCCCCAAGGACAAGGCCACGCAGGUCAACUGGCUAUUCUGAGGUGAUAGUUGUCGUUGGAGGCUGUGAACGAGUUGGAGGAUUUAAUCUUCCAUACACUGAGUGCUAUGAUCCUGUGACAGGAGAGUGGAAGUCUUUGGCUAAGCUUCCAGAAUUUACCAAAUCAGAGUAUGCGGUCUGUGCUCUAAGGAAUGACAUUCUUGUUUCAGGUGGAAGAAUCAAUGGCCGUGAUGUCUGGAUUUAUAACUCACAGUUGAAUAUUUGGAUCAGAGUUGCUUCUCUAAAUAAAGGCAGAUGGCGUCACAAAAUGGCUGUCCUCCUUGGUAAAGUAUAUGUUGUUGGAGGCUAUGAUGGGCAAAACAGACUUAGCAGUGUAGAAUGUUAUGAUUCCUUUUCAAAUCGAUGGACUGAAGUUGCCCCCCUUAAGGAAGCAGUGAGUUCUCCUGCCGUGACUAGCUGUAUAGGCAAAUUGUUUGUGAUUGGUAGAGGACCUGAUGAUAAUACUUGUUCUGAUAAGGUUCAAUCUUAUGAUCCAGAAACCAAUUCUUGGCUACUUCGUGCAGCUAUCCCAAUUGCCAAGAGGUGUAUAACAGCCGUAUCCUUAAACAACCUGAUAUAUGUUGCUGGUGGACUGACCAAGGCAAUAUACUGUUAUGAUCCCGUUGAAGAUUACUGGAUGCAUGUACAGAAUACAUUCAGCCGACAGGAAAACUGUGGUAUAUCUGUAUGUAAUGGUAAAAUAUAUAUCCUGGGUGGAAGACGGGAAAAUGGAGAAGCCACAGACACUAUUCUCUGUUAUGAUCCUGCAACAAGUAUCAUCACAGGGGUAGCUGCAAUGCCCAGGCCAGUGUCCUAUCAUGGAUGUGUGACUAUUCAUAGAUACAGUGAGAAAUGCUUUAAGCUCUAAAACCAGGAUACCUCACCCAAGAAGCCACAGCAAUCUAAGAUGAGAGGUUUCAAAAACUCCAGAGUGGGAACUUGACAUAUCUCCUUUUUGCAAUAUGCACAGAAAAGUAAAAAUAAUAAUUGUCGUGCCUUUCUCCCCAAAAUGUCAAUCUUUCAAACUGUAAUAAAGCCUUUUCUGUAA